Molecule: ribosomal RNA, 481 nt
Filed under: uncultured bacterium
Lineage: Bacteria
Description: partial 16S ribosomal RNA
Rfam family: Bacterial small subunit ribosomal RNA
Source: RNAcentral
UUGCACGCUGGCGGCAUGCCUUACACAUGCCAGUCGAACGGUAACAGGUCUUCGGAUGCUGACGAGUGGCGAACGGGUGAGUAAUACAUCGGAACGUGCCCGAUCGUGGGGGAUAACGAAGCGAAAGCUUUGCUAAUACCGCAUACGAUCUACGGAUGAAAGCAGGGGACCGCAAGGCCUUGCGCGAACGGAGCGGCCGAUGGCAGAUUAGGUAGUUGGUGGGAUAAAAGCUUACCAAGCCGACGAUCUGUAGCUGGUCUGAGAGGACGACCAGCCACACUGGGACUGAGACACGGCCCAGACUCCUACGGGAGGCAGCAGUGGGGAAUUUUGGACAAUGGGCGAAAGCCUGAUCCAGCCAUGCCGCGUGCAGGAUGAAGGCCUUCGGGUUGUAAACUGCUUUUGUACGGAACGAAAAGACUCUGGUUAAUACCUGGGGUCCAUGACGGUACCGUAAGAAUAAGCACCGGCUAACUACGUG